Long non-coding RNA from Grammomys surdaster, 1298 nucleotides. RefSeq lists it as uncharacterized. The record is from RefSeq and is a predicted model, not a curated record. The transcript has 3 exons. NCBI's taxonomy places the organism in Eukaryota, Metazoa, Chordata, Mammalia, Rodentia, Muridae.
CGCUCUGUUUACAUCGGCCUGCUAGCGACCUCCUAAUCUCCCUGAAGGAGAACAUCCUCAGAGGAAUUCCCAUAUCAGUCCAUUCACUAUGUCAGGCUGGUCUUGCUGAAGCCAGUGGCUACCUUCUGACAAAAUGACAAGAAUAGUCUAUGUGACUCAACAAGGAAACUUUGCAACAGACAGAAGUCACUACAGAAAGCUGCAACCAAUCAAAAUGCGGAAUCAUGGAGCCUAGUCCCGGUGGUCACAUCUACAAAAUAUUUCCACAUCUGAGGCUCAGUGAACAUUUCAGAAGAUGGGGCAGAAAGAUUUUAAGGGCCAGAGGAUCAGGGAGUUUACUGUGAGACUGUCUCCUAGUAAUGUCAGAAGCUGCACCUACAUGACUGUCAGAACAUAAGCUGAACCAUGAUGAUAUUGAUGGACAUGCCACAGCAGAUGAAGAAAAACCCACGGGGCCUCAACUCUACAAAGAGAACUCUAGGCAACAGAGGAAAGCUGGGGACAGGAGAGGUGGCUAUCCCCAAGGAAAAGCACAUGGAUUGGUUGUCCAGUGCCAGCGGCCAGCCCUGAAGAUGUACAUACAAUAAUAUUAUACAUGCUGAAUAGGUAAUGUAUAGGAAUACAUAUGUAUAUACACACAUGGUAGUGAAAAAGAGGUCGAGGAUUUCAAGGAGAGUAGGGAGAGAGAUAUGUGAGAUUUUCAGCGAGGAGAGGGAAAGGAGAAAUGCCAAAUUAUCAUCUCAAAAAAGAAAAAAAAACAUAGGACUUGGUUGAAACUAGAGAAACAAUUAACUUUAUAUCUCAUUUACAACUGUUGUGUCCUUUCUACGUGUUUCACUUGUUCUCAUAAUCUUACCCUUGAUCUCCUCUCAAAAUGUUACGCCACAUGCACGUUUACAACUGUUUACACAGACACUUGUAUACAUUAUAGGCUAUACGCUAUAUCUUACAAAAACAUAAAGACACAAACGACAUUAAGUAAAUGGUCUUCUAUGAGAGAGGGAGGGAGCGGGGUGGACAGACAGACAGACAGACAAGCCAGACUGCCCUGAAUAUACUCUGUUUAAGCCCUGAUAUGGAAUGCUACAAAUGUUUUAUGUAACAUCAAAGAAGUUAAUCCUGCCUUAAGUUUGUUUUGAAAAUAUAAAUAAGAUUUCAUGAUUCACAUAUUCUUUCUAAAAACAACACACAGAUUUUGUGUGAUGGAAGUAUCUAGAAACCCCAUAACAAUGAUCAUCUUGAAUCCACACUGUGGUCUCUAAAUACCAUUUCUUAGUAAAAUAAAUGACAGUUCCUCG